GUGGGGAAUAUUGGGCAAUGGGCGAAAGCCUGACCCAGCAACGCCGCGUGAGGGAAGAAGGCCUUCGGGUUGUAAACCUCUGUCCUUGGUGACGAAGAAAGUGACGGUAGCCAAGGAGGAAGCCCCGGCUAACUACGUGCCAGCAGCCGCGGUAAUACGUAGGGGGCGAGCGUUGUCCGGAAUUACUGGGCGUAAAGGGUGCGUAGGUGGCCUUUUAAGUUGGAUGUGAAAUACCCGGGCUUAACUUGGGGGGUGCAUCUAAUACUGGGAGGCUAGAGUGCAGGAGAGGGAAGCGGAAUUCCUAGUGUAGCGGUGAAAUGCGUAGAUAUUAGGAGGAACACCAGUGGCGAAGGCGGCUUUCUGGACUGUAACUGACACUGAGGCACGAAAGCGUGGGGAGCAAACAGGAUUAGAAACCCGGGUAGUCC
Molecule: ribosomal RNA, 428 nt
Filed under: uncultured bacterium
Lineage: Bacteria
Description: bacterial SSU rRNA
Rfam family: Bacterial small subunit ribosomal RNA
Source: RNAcentral